This 1572-nucleotide ribosomal RNA is filed under the name Pseudoacanthocephalus nickoli. RNAcentral describes it as "eukaryotic LSU rRNA". The stretch from base 548 to 1572 matches the Rfam family "Eukaryotic large subunit ribosomal RNA", at positions 1 to 872 of the family's 3401-position model. The record is from RNAcentral. Lineage: Eukaryota; Metazoa; Acanthocephala; Palaeacanthocephala; Echinorhynchida; Pseudoacanthocephalidae.
UGUAUAGAUGGUGACUAAUUUCGAGACCUUUCUGACACUACCAUUGGUAGACAAGGUGGUGUGUGAGAUUACAAUAAUUGAAUUUUGACAGAAAUGACUUGUCUCAAAAAUGAAAUCAAGCCGUGAAUGAAUUCGAAUUGUUAUCGAAUGUUAAGCUUUCUUAUAAGAAAGUGACUUAUAUGUAAUCAAGCUGCUUGCUUGAAUAAUGAUUGUCGGUGUACAGUGAAUCACUUGGCUCGCAGAUCGAGGAAGAACAUUGCCACAUGUGGUAAUUUCUGUGAACUGCAGGUCACAAUGAACAGAGAGUUUUUGAACGCAAAUGACAGCCGUGGGUGAAAACCUACAGCUACAUCCGUCUGAGGUUCGCAACAUAUGUCGUAUAUAAAGCAUGGCUCAUGUGANCACUUUUAACGGUUGACACGACUUGUGCCAGGCUGAUUGAAAACUAAGGCAAGUUGUAUCAAACUGUGAUGAAGAUACCGUGUAUCGGUUUAUAUGGAAUUAAUGAAUGGUGACGAUACUGGGUAUGUGCAAUGAUUGUAAAAAGGGGCCUCAGAUUGGGUGAGAUUANCCGCUGAAUUUAAGCAUAUUAAUAAGCGGAAGAAGAGAAACCAACUGGGAUUCUAUAAGUAAUGGCGAAUGAACAUAGAGAGGUCAUCAUCGAAUUCCUUCACAUUGAGUGAAUGGAAGGUGUGAUGUUAACGUGGUUUGUGCAUUAUGCUAGCAUGUAGUGUAAGUUUGAUUGAACGUGACAUGCCCAGAGAGGGUGAAAGGCCCGUUACACUGCUUGCCUGGUAUUCUCACAACUACGUUGGAGUAGGAUUGCUUGAGAAUGCAGUUCGAAUGAUGUGUGGCAAACCCCACACAAGCCUAAAUAUGGCUGCGAGACCGAUAGCGAACAAGUACCAUGAGGGAAAGUUGAAAAGCACUCUGAAAAGAGAGUUCAUAAGAGCGUGAAACUGUACUCUGCAAAGCGAAUGGUUGGGUGAUGUGGGUAUUUGUUGAUCAGGUAUCUUGUAAGCAUAAAAGCUGUUGAUUGAUGAUUGCAGUAUUGCUUGCGAGAUGCUGUAAUUGACAUUGCCUGGUGCUGCUUGGUGUGCUGAUGAUAGCGCGGUGCUGUUAUGAAUUAGAAUGUCCUUGACAAGCCUAUGAAAACAGUACCGUAGGAUUGCUUUGAUGCAGUUGCUAUUAUGAGCACACUAUCAUAUAAUGGCUAUACUUUUAUCAUUCAUCAAGCGUGCGACGAGCGAUUUGCUUGUUUGCAUUCUGGUGAAGAAAACGUUCAAUGGUUUGGUAAAGGCAGCGUCUUUACUUGAGCUAUUCGAACCGUCUUGAAACACGGACUAAGGAGUUCAACUCGAACGCAAGUCGUUAUUUCACGAUGAAAUUUAAAGGCUAAGUGAAGACGACUCUUUGUGAGAUGUUAACUGAGACGAUAGUGUUGAUGGUAAGCACGAGUGAUGAGUGACAUGUUUGAUCUAGUUGAUCACUGCACCUGAGCGUUCAGGUUGAGACCCGAAAGAUGGUGAACUAUGCCUGAGUAGAAUAAAGCCAGGGGAAACUCUGGUGGAG